RNAcentral lists this long non-coding RNA (1217 nucleotides) under Olea europaea subsp. europaea. The record is from RNAcentral. Lineage: Eukaryota; Viridiplantae; Streptophyta; Magnoliopsida; Lamiales; Oleaceae.
AGAAUUCAAUUGCAACUAUUUAUUUGUGUAUAUUUUUAUGUGGGAUUGAAGUUGUAACAUUUGCAUCAAGUUCAAGUUUAAUAUGUUGAACAUAAUUUGAAUGUGACGGUAAAAAAAAUUUGGAAACAUUAUCUCAAAUUAUAUUAAUUUCAAUUAUAUAAAUUAUUCCAAAUAUUCAAGUAGCUAAUAUUGGAAUAGGCUACGAGUUCAGGAUAUUUACCAGAAAUUUAAAUUUCCACGACGCUAAACCUCUUUCAGUCGUUGAAUAAGACAAAGCAGGUACUGUUUCGAUUGAUUUUGGUCACAGAUUGAACGUUUUCAUUUCAAACUAAUGUUUCUCAUCACAAAUUCUCAAAUCAAUUUGAUAUACUGAAAAUAAUCGAACACUUUAGCUAUCAAAUUAUAGACUUUUGUAGCUGAAGAAGACAAUCCAGGUAAUAAUUCGAUUAUUUUGGUUACGAAUUGAAUGUUCAAGUCACGAUUGACCAUUCCGAUCAAAAUUUUUGUUUUAUCUAUGAUCUAGUUGUAUCGUAAGUUUACCAGCGAAUCAGAAUCGCAGGACACAAGAAAUUUGAUCAUAGCAGGAGAAGAGAUUUCAGGUAAUCGAUUCUAUUAUUGUGGUUACGAAUCGAAAUACUCCAAUCACAAAUUGAUUUUUCUCGUCACAAGCUUAGCAAAAAAAUCCAAUGCAUGCCACAAGAUUUUAGGUAAAAGCUUCAAAUAUUUUGGUCAUAAAUUGAAUGCUCUAGUCACGACAGUAUUUUUCUCAUCAUAGAUUCAGUAAAAAGUCUAAUUUACUGGCCAUAGAAACUCUGAUUGGCACCAAGGAAAAUAUUCCAGUAACCAAUCCAAAUAUUUUGGUCAAAACUUGAAUGCUCUCAUCAGGAAUUGAUGAAUUUGGUCACAAGUUAUUAUGCACAAGCUGAAACUGAAAUUAUUCGGACAAAUCACAUGAUAUUGACUGAUAUAAUUACACAAUUUUGUUCUAUGACCUGCUAUCUGUAUAUGUGACUUAUAUGUGUACUGUGUACAACGGAAUAUGAAGGAACACGUGAACUAUGUAGAAUGAAAUGUGACAUAUUUCUCACCUAUUGUGAUAAACAUAUUAGUCAUAUAUGACUUGUUUAAAAAUGUGACAUGUAUUUUGUUAUAGCCAUUCCUACAUUAACUCUGUGUUGUAUUAUUUUCAACAUGAGACCAUUGUUGAUAUUAAUUUU